UGUGCAUGUGUGGUCCCAGCUACUAGAGAGGCUGAGCCCAGGAAGGAUCGCUGGAGCCCAGGAGGUUAAGGAUGCAGUGAGUCAUGCACUUCAGACAUUGGGUGACAGAAUGAGACCUUGUCUCCAAAAAUAAAAAAGUUUAUGUUACAGUCAUUGAUUUGAUUUGAGAAAUAGUAAUAUGACUUUACGGUAUUCAUCCCUCAUGAAUUAUAAAAUAGCACAAAUGUUUUAAAAAAAUUUUAAACUGAUAAAUAUAAGAAACAAGAAAUACAUAGGAAAGAAAAAGUAAAUCCAAAAAUAUGUGUAAAACAGAUUCUGUGAUAAUAGCUUUGAUUAUUUUGGAAAAAUGUUACUGUCGCAGCUUCCUUAAUUUUAUUAUUAACCUAAAUAUUUCUGAUCUAUAAGUAGUAAGAAAAAGGGUAACAGUGAUGUAGAAUUUGCAAAAUCUUCCACUGAAAACUUUAUAGAUGUUUUAUUUUUAUGUGUAGGAGCAUUCAAUUUAUAUUCCUGAUUCCUGCUUUGACAUUUUUAGUAUCCUGCACUUAGUGGGUAUGUCUUAGGGUCUUAAGCAAAUGGAUACUGUGGAGUAAAUCUGAAGCAUUAACAUACUGGCAGCUGACUAAAAGGAAACUUCUGUUUUGAGGAGAGAACAAAACAACUCUGAUGUAUAAAUCUACCUCUUUACAAGCAUUUCACUCUGACAAAAAUUUAUGGCAUUUCUUGAUUGGCUAUAUUACUUUGCUAAGACUGCCAAUAACAGAGUCCAUAAUGAAACUAGUUUCCUCCAUUUCCUCUAGGAGACCAAAGUCAAACAUUCAAAAAACUGCCAAACUAAAACAAGAACUCUUUUCUUUUUGAUACUACAUACAGACUAAACUUAUAAAAAUAGAAAGUACUCUGGGGAAAGUUCUAAACUUUCGUGACCUAGACAGAAUUAUCAACACAUUCUGACACAGUAUACAUCUUUUUUCAGGGAUCCAUAGCAGCCAAAUGUCAUAACUUCUUGGUUACCUCAUUGAAGAUUUUCUUCUAUCUUUUAAGAUUUCAGGAGUACAAAAGAAACUGUGGCAACUCUAGGUCCUUGAACCUAGGACCCAUUUCUAACCACAAAAGAGAUUUCAAGUGUUCCUUUUCCUCAGUGUGUAAAUCAUAGAUGGAUUAAACUUAUGAGACAUAAUCUCAAAAAUUAUAACAGUAGCAAAUUCACCUGUGUCAUUCACUCACUUAACAAGUUGUAUAGUAGGAGCAAAACAGACCAAUAUCCCUGCCUCAUGGAGCUUGUGUUUUUGGGGGGAGAUAGAUGGUAAACAAAGUACUGGAUAUUAGAUUGUGAUAACUGUUGAGGAAAAAUAGGAAGCAGAGCAGGGAAAUACAGAGUGUUGGGUUAUUCCAAUUUUAAAUAGUUGGUCAGGACAAUUUCAUUGAGAAGGUGAAAAAAAAAAAAAAA
Molecule: long non-coding RNA, 1447 nt
Organism: Sapajus apella (tufted capuchin)
Lineage: Eukaryota; Metazoa; Chordata; Mammalia; Primates; Cebidae
Exons: 2
Source: RefSeq, a predicted model, not a curated record